This 1051-nucleotide long non-coding RNA is filed under the name Homo sapiens (human). RNAcentral describes it as "non-protein coding SNHG1:48". Lineage: Eukaryota; Metazoa; Chordata; Mammalia; Primates; Hominidae. The record is from RNAcentral.
UCUGCAGGAUUUACGCGCACGUUGGAACCGAAGAGAGCUCUGUUGUUGCAAUGUUCAGCCCACAAGAGCUUACUGGUGAAGGAAUGGGACAAGACCCAUCUUUAUGCAAAGCCAGCGUUACAGUAAUGUUCCAGCAUCUCAUAAUCUAUCCUGGGGAAUUCAGCUGCCUCCCAGGGUGAAUACAGGUAUUCCUGAUGACAGUCUGCCUCUAUCUUACAGUACUACUAACCAAUAACCUGCUUGGCUCAAAGGGCCAGCACCUUCUCUCUAAAGCCCAAGAGGAGUUUGAGGAAAACUAGGUGUCUGUGUUCACUCCAGGCUGAAGUUACAGGUCUGAGCAAAUAAGGUGUAUAAAAAAUGGAAUCUGUCUUGGAGGACAUCAGAAGGUGAAUUUUCCAAGUUCUUGGACAACCUAGCUGUUGAAAAGCUUUCUGGGUUUGGGGGGUAUUUCAGAUGUACCUUAAAGUGUUAGCAGACACAGAUUAAGACACUGGGAGCCAAUGAAACAGCAGUUGAGGGUUUGCUGUGUAUCACAUUUCUGUAUUUUAUCACCCCCUUCCUGCAACAUUAUUUAUCUGGAAUCUACCUGCCCUUUUGUUUUUUAGAUACAAGGGCUUGGUUUUGUUACCCAGGCUGGUUUCAAGGCCAUAGCUUUAAGAGAUCCUCUCACCACAGAUUUCCAAAGUGCUGGGAUUGCAGGUGUGAUUCAUGGCACCCAGACUUUGCUGCCUUUCUUACAUGAUCCAGGCCCAGAACCCAAACUCAGGCACUGUAUAGAUGACCACUUUCGUAAACUACUGACCUAGCUUGUUGCCAAUUGUUGAUUGAACUUCCCAUAACUCCACUUCGUGUCUGUUCCUCUGUAUACAGCCACCUUCUGUUCCCGUCAUGAGCCUUUAGGUCUCCAUUUGCAUAUUGCAAAUACUAUGUUCCAUGUAGGUAGCUCAUUCAGGGCCUUGCUCUUCACUUCAAAAAAGGUUCCCUUGAGGACUGGCUGUCAAUUUGUGUUGCUGUGUUGGUUGUUGAUGAAAAUAAUAAAAUGAUUGAUUAC